Molecule: transfer RNA, 74 nt
Filed under: Methylophilaceae bacterium
Lineage: Bacteria; Pseudomonadati; Pseudomonadota; Betaproteobacteria; Nitrosomonadales; Methylophilaceae
Description: tRNA-Met
Rfam family: tRNA
About the family: Transfer RNA (tRNA) molecules are approximately 80 nucleotides in length. Their secondary structure includes four short double-helical elements and three loops (D, anti-codon, and T loops).
Source: RNAcentral
GGACCUUUAGCUCAGUUGGUUAGAGCAGGGGACUCAUAAUCCCUUGGUCGGGGGUUCAAAUCCCUCAGGGCGCA